CCUACGGGCCGCACCAGUGGGGAAUUUUGGACAAUGGGCGCAAGCCUGAUCCAGCAAUGCCGCGUGAGUGAAGAAGGCCUUCGGGUUGUAAAGCUCUUUUGUCAGGGAAGAAACGGCUCCGGCUAAUAUCCGGGGCUAAUGACGGUACCUGAAGAAUAAGCACCGGCUAACUACGUGCCAGCAGCCGCGGUAAUACGUAGGGUGCAAGCGUUAAUCGGAAUUACUGGGCGUAAAGCGUGCGCAGGCGGUUUUGUAAGUCUGUCGUGAAAGCCCCGGGCUCAACCUGGGAAUUGCGAUGGAGACUGCAAGGCUUGAAUCUGGCAGAGGGGGGUAGAAUUCCACGUGUAGCAGUGAAAUGCGUAGAGAUGUGGAGGAACACCGAUGGCGAAGGCAGCCCCCUGGGUCAAGAUUGACGCUCAUGCACGAAAGCGUGGGGAGCAAACAGGAUUAGAUACCCGGGUAGUC
This 465-nucleotide ribosomal RNA is filed under the name uncultured bacterium. RNAcentral's name for it is "bacterial SSU rRNA". It matches the Rfam family "Bacterial small subunit ribosomal RNA", at positions 338 to 795 of the family's 1533-position model. The record is from RNAcentral.